UUGGAGGGCAAGUUGGUGCCAGCAGCCGCGGUAAUUCCAGCUCCAAUAGCGUAUAUUAAAGUUGUUGCAGUUAAAAAGCUCGUAGUUGAAUUUCGGGGUUAGUAGGUUGGUCAUGCCUCUGGUAUGUACUGGUCUCACUGAUUCCUCCUUCCUUAUGAACCGUAAUGCCAUUAAUUUGGUGUUGCGGGGAAUUUGGACUGUUACUUUGAAAAAAUUAGAGUGUUUAAAGCAAGCUAACGCUUGAAUACAUUAGCAUGGAAUAAUGAAAUAGGACGUUCG
RNAcentral lists this ribosomal RNA (279 nucleotides) under uncultured Glomus. Its description in RNAcentral is "partial 18S ribosomal RNA". It matches the Rfam family "Eukaryotic small subunit ribosomal RNA", at positions 548 to 833 of the family's 1831-position model. Lineage: Eukaryota; Fungi; Glomeromycota; Glomeromycetes; Glomerales; Glomeraceae. The record is from RNAcentral.